AACUUUCAACAACGGAUCUCUUGGUUCUGGCAUCGAUGAAGAACGCAGCGAAAUGCGAUAAGUAGUGUGAAUUGCAGAAUUCAGUGAAUCAUCGAAUCUUUGAACGCACAUUGCGCCCCUUGGUAUUCCAUGGGGCAUGCCUGUUCGAGCGUCAUUUGUACCUUCAAGCUCUGCUUGGUGUUGGG
This 185-nucleotide ribosomal RNA is filed under the name Sclerophomella complanata. Its description in RNAcentral is "Calophoma complanata 5.8S ribosomal RNA". The stretch from base 1 to 154 matches the Rfam family "5.8S ribosomal RNA". From Rfam's summary of the family: 5.8S ribosomal RNA (5.8S rRNA) is a component of the large subunit of the eukaryotic ribosome. It is transcribed by RNA polymerase I as part of the 45S precursor that also contains 18S and 28S rRNA. Functionally, it is thought that 5.8S rRNA may be involved in ribosome translocation. Lineage: Eukaryota; Fungi; Ascomycota; Dothideomycetes; Pleosporales; Didymellaceae. The record is from RNAcentral.